GGCAUCAACUAGGUCUGAUGUGAGCUUGUGAUUGCAUCUCAUGGAUGGAGGUUUGAUCCGUGAGGAAGCAACAAUAUAUACGGAACCUGGUAAUGGAGCGGUUUUUCUGACACAAGUCCCUGAAAGGAAGGAAGCAAUCAAUCAUAAAAGAUCAAAGUGACAGAGAAGAUGACCGAUGGGAAGAUCCCUCCAGGCUCAUUGGCAGGAACAAACCGGGAGACAUAAGUAAAUCUACAAACACCAAAACGAGGUGCAUCACUUUUCGUUUAGAGAUUAUAGCAAAGCUUCUGCAAGAUUAUGUAUCAGUCUCACAGAGAAUUUGAUGUUUGAAAGGUUUAAGAGAGACUCUAGAAGACUCUCUACCUCAAUUCCAAACUAUUUUUUAAUGUGCAAUGAUCUAACACCUCCAGUUUUGAUCAGCCA
Camelina sativa (false flax) is the source of this 423-nucleotide non-coding RNA. The record is from RefSeq and is a predicted model, not a curated record. Lineage: Eukaryota; Viridiplantae; Streptophyta; Magnoliopsida; Brassicales; Brassicaceae.